Molecule: ribosomal RNA, 499 nt
Filed under: Hoplopleura erratica
Lineage: Eukaryota; Metazoa; Arthropoda; Insecta; Psocodea; Hoplopleuridae
Description: SSU rRNA
Rfam family: Eukaryotic small subunit ribosomal RNA
Source: RNAcentral
AAGAUUAAGCCAUGCAUGUCUCAGUGCAAGCCGAAUUAAGGUGAAACCGCGAAAGGCUCAUUAAAUCAGCUAUAAUUUAAUUGAUGGUACAACACAGUACUUGGAUAACUGUGGCAAUUCUAGAGCUAAUACAUGCAAAACGAGUUCCGACCGCUGGGACGAAUGCUUUUAUUAGAACAAAACCAAUCGACUCUGAAUAACUUUAAGCUGAUCGCACGGUCACGCACCGGCGACGCAUCUUUCAAAUGUCUGACUUAUCAACUUUCGAUGGUAGGUUACGUGCCUACCAUGGUGAUAACGGGUGACGGGGAAUCAGGGUUCGAUUCCGGAGAGGGAGCCUGAGAAACGGCUACCACAUCCAAGGAAGGCAGCAGGCGCGCAAAUUACCCACUCCCGGCACGGGGAGGUAGUGACGAAAAAUAACGAUGCAGGACUCUUUCCGAGGCUCUGCAAUCGGAAUGAGCACACUCUAAAUCAUUUAACGAGUAUCCAUUGGAGG